AGAGUUGUAUCCUGGCUCAGGACGAACGCUGGCGGUGCGCCUUAUGCAUGCAAGUCGAGCGAAGCUUUUCAGUAGUUUACUACAGAAAAUGACUGAGCGGCGAACGGGUGAGUAACGCGUGAGCAAUCUACCUUAGUUACAGGGAUAGCCCGAGGAAACUCGGAUUAAUACCUGAUAUUCUUUAUUUCUCGCAUGAGAAUAAAAGGAAAGGUCAGCCGAACUAAGAUGAGCUCGCGUUCUAUCAGCUAGUUGGUGAGGUAAAAGCUUACCAAGGCUACGACGGAUAGCUGGUCUGAGAGGACGAUCAGCCACACUGGGACUGAGACACGGCCCAGACUCCUACGGGAGGCUGCAGCAGGGAAUAUUGUGCAAUGAACGAAAGUUUGACACAGCGACACCGCGUGUGGGAUGACGGAUCUAGGUUUGUAAACCACUUUCAGGAGGGAAGAAAAUGACGGUACCUCCACAAGAAGCCCCGGCCAACUACGUGCCAGCAGCCGCGGUAAUACGUAGGGGGCGAGCGUUGUCCGGAUUUAUUGGGCGUAAAGAGCUCGUAGGCGGUUCAACAAGUCGGUCGUAAAAGUUCAGGGCUCAACCCUGAAAUGUCGAUCGAUACUGUUGUGACUAGGAUACGGUAGAGGUGAGUGGAAUUCCGAGUGUAGCGGUGAAAUGCGUAGAUAUUCGGAGGAACACCAAUUGCGAAGGCAGCUCACUGGGCCGCUAUCGACGCUGAGGAGCGAAAGCUAGGGGAGCAAACAGGAUUAGAUACCCUGGUAGUCCUAGCUGUAAACGAUGGAUACUAGACG
Molecule: ribosomal RNA, 806 nt
Filed under: uncultured Actinomycetes bacterium
Lineage: Bacteria; Bacillati; Actinomycetota; Actinomycetes
Description: bacterial SSU rRNA
Rfam family: Bacterial small subunit ribosomal RNA
Source: RNAcentral